CUUUCCAGUCUGGAAGAAUCUGGAGACAGGUGCUGCAUGGCUGUCGUCAGCUCGUGUCGUGAGAUGUUGGGUUAAGUCCCGCAACGAGCGCAACCCUUGCCUUUAGUGCCAGCAGUUCGGCUGGGCACUCUAAAGGGACUGCCGGUGUUAAACCGGAGGAAGUGGGGAUGACGUCAAGUCUCAUGGCCUUUAUGACCAGGGCUACACACGUACUACAAUGGCCGAUACAAAGGGCAGCGACACUGCGAGGUGAAGCCAAUCCCGUAAAAUACGGUCUCAGUCCGGAUUGGAGUCUGCAACUCGACUCCAUGAAGUUGGAAUCGCUAGUAAUCGUGGAUCAGCAUGCCACGGUGAAUACGUUCCCGGGCCUU
This 371-nucleotide ribosomal RNA is filed under the name uncultured Desulfobulbus sp. RNAcentral's name for it is "bacterial SSU rRNA". It matches the Rfam family "Bacterial small subunit ribosomal RNA", at positions 1013 to 1382 of the family's 1533-position model. The record is from RNAcentral. Lineage: Bacteria; Pseudomonadati; Thermodesulfobacteriota; Desulfobulbia; Desulfobulbales; Desulfobulbaceae.